AAAAUGUUUGCUUGUUUCAGAAGGCCAUUCAGAACAUGGGGGUAGCCACAUUAAUUCAAUCUGAGAGGAUUGCAAUGUCUGCACGAGGCUGAUGACACUGAGACAGAGUUCCUGGCUGGAUAUUUUGGAGCAGGCACAUGUACCCUUUAUGUAUCAGGCAGGAAGUUUAUUUUGGGUGCUUGGGGAUAGCAUGAGGACAAGGAUGGUGAUUACAUGUUAUCUCCAUAAUUUGCAUGAUGUUGGUCUGUUGCAUAUUGGGAUUGUGCAGCGUUUAGGAUAACUCUUUGAGAUAUGCCCACUGCAC
Long non-coding RNA from Corapipo altera (White-ruffed manakin), 304 nucleotides. RefSeq lists it as uncharacterized. The record is from RefSeq and is a predicted model, not a curated record. NCBI's taxonomy places the organism in Eukaryota, Metazoa, Chordata, Aves, Passeriformes, Pipridae. The transcript has 3 exons.